Molecule: ribosomal RNA, 274 nt
Filed under: uncultured bacterium
Lineage: Bacteria
Description: partial 16S ribosomal RNA
Rfam family: Bacterial small subunit ribosomal RNA
Source: RNAcentral
AUACGGAGGGGGCAAGCGUUGCUCGGAAUUACUGGGCGUAAAGGGCGCGUAGGCGGGCCAGCCAGUCAGGCGUGAAAGCCCCGAGCUCAACUCGGGAACUGCGCUUGAAACUGCUGGUCUAGAGUUCGGGAGAGGGUAGUGGAAUUCCCAGUGUAGAGGUGAAAUUCGUAGAUAUUGGGAAGAACACCAGUGGCGAAGGCGGCUCUCUGGACCGAUACUGACGCUGAGGUGCGAAAGCGUGGGGAGCAAACAGGAUUAGAAACCCCGGUAGUCC